CCUACGGGAGGCAGCAGUGGGGAAUAUUGCACAAUGGGGGAAACCCUGAUGCAGCGACGCCGCGUGAGUGAAGAAGUAUUUCGGUAUGUAAAGCUCUAUCAGCAGGGAAGAAAAUGACGGUACCUGAUUAAGAAGCCCCGGCUAACUACGUGCCAGCAGCCGCGGUAAUACGUAGGGGGCAAGCGUUAUCCGGAUUUACUGGGUGUAAAGGGAGCGUAGACGGCAGCACAAGUCUGGAGUGAAAUGCCGGGGCUCAACCCCGUCGUGCCGUUGAAACUGACGCCCUUGAGUGAGUGAGAAGUAAGCGGAAUGCGUGGUGUAGCGGUGAAAUGCAUAGAUAUCACGCAGAACGCCGAUUGCGAAGGCAGCUUACCGGCGCUCAACUGACGCUGAGGCACGAAAGUGCGGGUAUCGAACAGGAUUAGAUACCCUGGUAGUC
Molecule: ribosomal RNA, 439 nt
Filed under: uncultured bacterium
Lineage: Bacteria
Description: partial 16S ribosomal RNA
Rfam family: Bacterial small subunit ribosomal RNA
Source: RNAcentral